UAAGGAAUAUUGGUCAAUGGGCGGGAGCCUGAACCAGCCAUGCCGCGUGCAGGAAGACGGCCUUAUGGGUUGUAAACUGCUUUUAUCGGGGAAUAAAACUUUCUACGAGUAGAGAGCUGAAGGUACCCGAAGAAUAAGCAUCGGCUAACUCCGUGCCAGCAGCCGCGGUAAUACGGAGGAUGCAAGCGUUAUCCGGAUUCAUUGGGUUUAAAGGGUGCGCAGGCGGAUUGGUAAGUCAGUGGUGAAAUUCUAGUGCUUAACAUUAGACCUGCCAUUGAUACUGUCAGUCUAGAGUAUAGUUGGAGUGGGCGGAAUGUGUCAUGUAGCGGUGAAAUGCUUAGAUAUGACACAGAACACCGAUCGCGAAGGCAGCUCACUAAGCUAAAACUGACGCUCAUGCACGAAAGCGUGGGGAUCAAACA
RNAcentral lists this ribosomal RNA (422 nucleotides) under uncultured prokaryote. RNAcentral describes it as "bacterial SSU rRNA". It matches the Rfam family "Bacterial small subunit ribosomal RNA", at positions 355 to 774 of the family's 1533-position model. The record is from RNAcentral.